GCUUAGAUGCUAUUUUACUUCAAUAAUUCUGAGCUUGCACUUACUUUGACUACUUAUCUCAGUUUCCUUUCUGUGUAAAUCUUGGCACAGUCGUUGCUCAUUUUUAUUUAUUAUGUUAUUUAGGUUGAGGUCCAUUAUGUGGGCAAGGAAAUGGAUUAGAUUUUAUCAAGCAAUAUAGUCAGGUUGAACGGAUGUUUGCUGCUGCAACCAAAGGUGGUUCAGAUGAUGCGACUCCAGAGUAUAUGGUCAAGUGGCAGGGACUAUCCUAUGUUGAAGUGACCUGGGAAAGAGACAUAGAUAUUGCAUUUGGUCAGGAUGCUGUUGAUGAGUACAAGGCCAGGGAGGACGACCGCCCAAGGGAAAAUGGUGGAUUUCCAGUGGAAAAAAAGCAGAGAUAGUCUUAGGAAGCUGGGUGAACGGCCUGACUGGCUGAAAGGACGAAAAGUUAUGAUCAUCAGCCUGAGGGGGUGAGACGUUGAGUUUUCGUGUUAAUAGCUUAGUUGGAGAAAUGAUACAAAUGUUACUCCGGCUGAUGAAAUGGGGCACGGUAAAACUGUUCAGUCUGUCUCAAUGCUGGAAUUUCUACAGACUGCCCAACAAAUUCGUGGCCCAUUUCUUGUCGUCGUACCGUUGUCAACUAUGUCUAACUGGAAAAAAAUGUAAGAAGUGGCUUCCUGAAAUGAACGUUGUUGUAUACGUUGGAAAUCGUGCUAGCUUGAGAGGUUUGUGAGCAGCACAAGUUUUACACAAAUAGCAAAAGUGGCAGGAUUAUCAAAUUCCAUGCUCCAUUGACAACACAUGAAGUAGUUCUGAAGGACAAAGCUGUGCUAACCAAGAUAAAGUGGAGCUACCUUAUGGUUGAUGAGGCACACAGGCUGAAAAAAUAGUGAAGCAUCUCUUUAUAUAACACUAUCGGAAUUUAGCACCAAGAACAAGUUACUAAUCACUGGUGCUCCUUUACAAAACAGUGUCGAAGAGCUAUGGGCCUUUCUUCAUUUCCCCGACCCUGUGAAGUUCAAGAGCAAGGAUGAGUUUUCUGAGAAGUACAAAAACCUGAGCUCUUUUAAUGUACUUGAGCUUGCAAAUCUGCAUAAGGAACUGAGUGCAAAGAGUUAUUAAGGAUGUGGAGAAGUCCUUGCCUCCGAGAUUUGAACGUGAACAAAGGAGUCCGUGAAUACGUGAGAAUCAGGCAAACAUCUCCGACUUUGAGAAGUGUUUGGAUAUAGUUGCUGGUUUGCAAGCUGACAAGGGUACUGGCAUAAAUUCGCUAGCCCCAUCAAGGAGUCAGACUUUGUGUGUCCAUGGUUGAGAACAGAAAUCAUGCUGGAAUACACAAGUGAAGAGGCCAGUGCUUUUCUACAAAAAAAUCUUGAUAAUGCUAACGCAAGCAUAGUGGUCCAUAUUGCUGAUCUACAAUUCUUGAGGGACCAAUUGACGAUAACACAGGUCACUAUCACUCGGGUGUACAUGGGAUGUUCACCAGCACAGAAUUAAGCUAAGUUGUGGUACCCUCCCUCCCCCUCCAGCUGAUGCCUCCAAACUUGCCACAUGUUGUCUUUGGGCCUCCUGGUAUUCAUCAUCAGCAACAGUUGCAUCAGCUUCCACACCAAUCGCUCAGGUCCUGUCUCAGCAAACACAAGCUUUACAAUUAGCUUUCAGUCAUCACAACAAGCAUGCCCUCAGCUACAGCAAAAGUUCCAUAUGUUGCGUUAAUCUGGUCAGAACUUAUCUCAGCCGCCGAAUGCCCAGGCAACUAAACUAUACAGUUUUGACCAGUGUAUCAUGGAUUUGAGUGCCCCACUGUAAACUGGGACGAUGGCGGUUUUAUCUAUACAUGUCGCUUUUUGACUGUAUAUUUUCCGUUGCAGUCUCCAUGGCCAGGAUAUACAUUCCUCAAGGGCAGACAGUUCCCAACAGUCUUUCUAAUGCAGCUGCUGUGCCUGGGUCUUCAACAACAGCCGCUACGACUCCCGCUUCAGCACCUGUAGGUGGGCAGGUUGCACUUCCACCUUGUAAUUGGAUAGAACACACCGCUCGUGAAGGGUACAAGUACUACAGUGUAACUAGUGAAAGCAGGAGGGAGAAGCCCGAGUAGCACAAAUUACCUCAUCCACAAAAACCUCCGGUUCAACUGUUUCAAUCUCAGUCACAACAAAGUCAGAUUCGAAGAGAAUGGAUUCUGAAGCAACAUGCCAGCUAAAGCUUGUGUACCCGAGGAGAGUAGGUUUAUGCCACAUUUAUGAAAUGAGUGAUACAAAGAUGGUCAGCGAAAUGUAUGGUAGAGAAUGCAUGCUAACAAGAGCAGAAGUUUGAGGACUGGAAGCUGUAUGUUGUUCAGUUUGAGCUUCACCCUUGAACUUGUCGAAGUUUUACAACUUCAAUAACACUUUAAAUGGAAAGUUUUCACAAAAGAAAGUCCAAAGGUUAACAAAUUCUGUAAUAUUGCGCUGAUUUGAUUUAGGAAUGCAUACU
Papaver somniferum (opium poppy) is the source of this 2472-nucleotide long non-coding RNA. RefSeq lists it as uncharacterized. The record is from RefSeq and is a predicted model, not a curated record. Lineage: Eukaryota; Viridiplantae; Streptophyta; Magnoliopsida; Ranunculales; Papaveraceae. The transcript has 16 exons.